RNAcentral lists this ribosomal RNA (392 nucleotides) under uncultured Gammaproteobacteria bacterium. Its description in RNAcentral is "bacterial SSU rRNA". It matches the Rfam family "Bacterial small subunit ribosomal RNA", at positions 370 to 779 of the family's 1533-position model. The record is from RNAcentral. Lineage: Bacteria; Pseudomonadati; Pseudomonadota; Gammaproteobacteria.
AAUGGAGGAAACUCUGAUGCAGCGAUGCCGCGUGAGUGAAGAAGGCCCUUGGGUUGUAAAGCUCUUUCGUCGGGGAAGAAAAUGACUGUACCCGAAUAAGAAGGUCCGGCUAACUUCGUGCCGGCAGCCGCGGUAAUACGAAGGGACCUAGCGUAGUUCGGAAUUACUGGGCUUAAAGAGUUCGUACGUGGUUGAAAAAGUUGGUGGUGAAAUCCCAGAGCUUAACUCUGGAACUGCCAUCAAAACUUUUCAGCUAGAGUAUGAUAGAGGAAAGCAGAAUUUCUAGUGUAGAGGUGAAAUUCGUAGAUAUUAGAAAGAAUACCAAUUGCGAAGGCAGCUUUCUGGAUCAUUACUGACACUGAGGAACGAAAGCAUGGGUAGCGAAGAGGAUU